RNAcentral lists this ribosomal RNA (253 nucleotides) under uncultured bacterium. RNAcentral's name for it is "partial 16S ribosomal RNA". It matches the Rfam family "Bacterial small subunit ribosomal RNA", at positions 524 to 776 of the family's 1533-position model. The record is from RNAcentral.
UACGGGGGGGGCAAGCGUUGUUCGGAAUUACUGGGCGUAAAGCGCACGCAGGCGGUCUGCGAAGUUUGGAGUGACAGUUGGUGGCUCAACCACAGAAUUGCCUUCGAUACUGUUUGGCUUGAGACCGGAAGAGGUUAGUGGAACUGCGAGUGUAGAGGUGAAAUUCGUAGAUAUUCGCAAGAACACCAGUGGCGAAGGCGGCUGACUGGCCCGAUACUGACGCUGAGGUGCGAAAGCGUGGGGAGCAAACAGG